AGCUCCGAUAGCAUAUGCAAAUGCUGUUGCGGUUAAAAAGCUCGUAGUUGGAUGUCGCCGGUGGCAGUCCGGUCCGCUUUUGGCGCGACUGGUCUCGACCACCGGGAGCUUUGCCGGAGGCGUUCAGGUGCUCUUGACCGAGUGUCUGUUCGCGCCGGCAGUUUUACCUUGAACAAAUGAGAGUGCUCAAAGCAGGCUUGAAAAGCCCGUAUUCCCGCGCAUGGAAUAAUGGAAUAAGACGUCAGUCCUAUUCUGUUGGUUUUCGGAACCGACGUAAUGAUUGAUAGGGACAGUCGGGGGCGUUCGUAUUCAGACGCUAGAGGUGAAAUUCUUGGACCGUCUGAAGACGCACCACUGCGAAAGCAUUCGCCAAGAAUGUUUUCA
RNAcentral lists this ribosomal RNA (384 nucleotides) under uncultured eukaryote. RNAcentral describes it as "SSU rRNA". It matches the Rfam family "Eukaryotic small subunit ribosomal RNA", at positions 587 to 972 of the family's 1831-position model. The record is from RNAcentral.